UAUAAGAUGUGCACUUUCCUUUUUUUUCAAUUAAACAGGCACAGUUUGAUCCUAUUUCCACUUUUGAUGGAAUGCACAGAGAAUGUGUGACUUUACAUAUAGUUUGCCACUGUGAUGUCAGAGAACAUGCAACAGGAGAGCGUGACAACUGCCUUGUGACGUGAAGGACUCACGGCAUUUAAGCCAAGCCUACUGGCAAUCUCGAAGGCAACUGGAGGGACAAGUGAGCCAGCACGAAGGUCACAAAUGACAACAAGCUGGCUGGCUGCGGCGGCUUUUCCCUGGCUCUAAGCACGGCUUCUUUCAUUCACCUGGAGAGAAGGUAGGAGAGGACUGAGUUGGCCAGCAGAGGGCCAGACUCCAGGUUGGAGCCAGCACAAGAACAGCCUCUUGAAGUGAAGGAAAAGGGAAACUUGACUCCAGUUGGUCCAUGCCACAGCUGUGAAUAUGCUGAACAAGGCUAAACCAGAGAAAGCUCACAAUAAACUUGGGACAAAGGAGCUGCCACAAGCCAAGCCUGAGAGAAGCUGCCUCACUUGGGCCCAGGCUAGGCAGGAGUUGAGUGAAACAAAUAGCUUCUGGAAGGUGAACGUAAGUCCAAGAGUUGAAGCUGCUUUCUACCUGCCACUGACUAUAAGCCAAGAAUGCUUCGCCCAAUCAAGCUUGUGCCUCUUCCGGUGCCUGCCUCUCCUAGCUGCCUUCUCACAAGCCCUGGUCACCUUCAUUGCUGAGCCAAACAGAUGUCUACCCCAACCCAGAGUUCCUGAACUCGAGCACCAAACCCCAUCAGAGCAGCUAAUAGAACCCAUCCCUGAUGGGAUGGGUAACCAGGUAGGUGGACUGUGAGCCAGUCUCCCCCACGAGACUCUCACAUGGAAGAGAUGCAUGGGUGAGACACGGAGGCACAUGUGGGGAGCACUGGGCCCACCAGGACGAUGGGCCAAAGAGGGACUCAGUAUGCUGUAGGUCUCAGCCAAAAUGACCAGCUUCCCCUGGACUGGACAGCGCUGCCUCUAGUCUGAGCACCUGCACCUGUGACUGCAGCACCACAUCACCACCCCGACUCUUCACACAGUUCCCUGGGAAACGUACAGCAGGCCUCGGAGGAAUCCUUUAGAUCAGUCAGAAGGUGGCCACUAACCCAAUCAACCAAGGCAAAGCAAUAGAGGAAACCAGAGAACCCACCCCAAGGACUAUGUGUGCCAGGGGCUAGAGGGCUCCUAACUCAUGGUGCUUUAUGGAAACCACCUGACCGCUGAAGGUAAUCAAGUGAUCCACUGCUUUUCUGAGAAACUGGAGAAUAAGGCAGCUUUCAACAUUAAAAAUAUAUUCAUCUCAUUUAGAUAGCAUAAAAAAACUCAAACCAGAAUAGAUUUAGCAAAUUAUGGAAAAUCCGCACAACUAAAACUUCACAAUGUUGUUAAGAGAUAUCUGAGGACUAAAUAAAUGAAAUACAGUGUGUUCAUGGAUUAGAAGACUUAAGAUUAAGGUGUCAAUUCUCCCCAAUUUUAUCC
Molecule: long non-coding RNA, 1514 nt
Organism: Heterocephalus glaber (naked mole-rat)
Lineage: Eukaryota; Metazoa; Chordata; Mammalia; Rodentia; Bathyergidae
Source: RefSeq, a predicted model, not a curated record